This 2647-nucleotide long non-coding RNA is filed under the name Citrus maxima (pomelo). RNAcentral describes it as "long non-coding RNA (CMAX_LNC000951)". Lineage: Eukaryota; Viridiplantae; Streptophyta; Magnoliopsida; Sapindales; Rutaceae. The record is from RNAcentral.
AAAAAUCUAAAUUAUUAUCCAUCCCCUCACUCACCCCCUCUCUAACUCACCCGCUCUGUCUCUCUAAUUCUUAUCCCUCCUCUCAGUCACCCCCUCUCUGACUCACCCGCUCUGUCUCUCUCACUCUUACCCACGAAGCUCGUUCCCCUCACACUCACCCGCAAGCUCACUGUCAAAAUUUUGCUCAGAUCUCAGCUAACACAUCAUCAAAACCGCAACGAUGACGCUAGGCUCAGGAGGAUCCAGUGUUGUGGGUCAGUUUCUUCUCUGAUCUUGCCCUUUUUUGUUCAAUCUGUUUAUGCCCUUGAUUGAUUUAUUCUCUUUGUUUUGGGUGGUUUUCUGCAGUCUUAUGAACAUUUUUUUUUUUGGCAUAAAUGCAUGCGGGUUGCUAAGUUUAAUUGUUAAUUAGACCUGAUCCGCAAUUCUAUGCGUUUUUUGAAUUUUUGAUCGCGAAAUUUAGUUAAUUUAAUUUAAUAGUGUUGGAUCAUCAUCACUAUUAAAUUAAUAGUUAAAGAAAUUCUUUUGACACGGGCUUUAUGAAACCUUGUAUGUGAUACUUUGCUUAUAAAAGUAUUUGGAUUGUUUUUUGUAUUUAUAUUUUAAAAUUACUAGAAACAAGUUAUUUGAAGUGUGAUACUUUGUGAAAUGUUAAAACCUUAUGAUUUGGUUGUAAUUUUGUUUUUGCUUAUAUAUGUUUACGUUUGUUGGCAGUAAAGCAUAUAUUGCUAAUCCAGUAAUUGCAGCUUGAUUCUAAGGUUCUUUUACCUUAUUAUGCAAGGUAACAAAAUUAGUCAAAUUAUGAAUAAAAUCUUUUACACUACACAAAAAUUUAUGCCAUUUAGUCACGUAAGAGAAAAGUUAUUUGUAUUAUACAUAACUUGAUUGAAAUGAAAUAAUAUAAUUGUAAAAAUUAACAAAGUCAAAUAAAUUAUACGCAACAAUCUAAAUCUUAUAAAUUCUUAAAAAUUCCUACUCUUUGUAUAUGGUAAGGUAAGAAUUUUGAGAUCAGUCUUCAGUUUGACAAAAAAAUUAUAUCCGAACUCAUAGUCUUUCCUUAGUGAAGCAAAGAAAUUCGUGACCAAUAAUGUGAUCAUAUAACCACUAGGUAAGAAAAUUAUGUAUCAUACAUAAGUCAAUAAUUAUAUUUUUUAAAAGUUAAUUACAGUAUAAUUGAAUGACAACCUAAUUUUCUCCUACCCAUGUGAGCUAAGCGCUACAUAAGAAUGAUAUUUUUUGAAUAAUAACAAAAAGUACAAGUAAAUAAAAUAUAUUUAUUUAAGCUAAAUGCUACGUAAGAAGUUCCUUUUAUAUACUAGUCUAUGUCUCUCUUCCUCUCUCUCUUUCUCUCUCAUACUAGUCUCUCUCUCUCUCUUUCUCUCUCAUACUAGUCUCUCUCUCUCUCUCUCUCUCUUAGGAGUAUUUUAUCGUACAAUCUAGGUAUUUUUUUAAGUUCAUUUUUUAAAAGAUUGGAGAGUGGAUCAAAUCUAAAUCGAUUUUUUUAGCCUUUACCUCCCCUAAAAUUCAAAAUGUAUUAACUAGCUAAAUAAAAAUACUUGAAAAUUGUUUGACUAAGUCAUUGAGGCCAUAAUUUAAACACUGAUAGAUAGUUAAAAAGUUCCAAUAAAAUAUGAUCAUCUAAUGGUGUCUUUACAGUUUUGUAACCACAACCAGUACAAUGUCUCUAUCAAAUGACAUGUUUCUACCCAGAAUCAAUUUCUUUUUUACUAUAUGGAAUUAUCUGCUCAUGGGUUGUCUGCUCAUGGUUUGUCUGCUCAUGAGUUCUCUGCUAAUGGAUCGUCUGCUCAUGGAUUGUCUACUCAUGGAUUGUCUGCUCAUGGGUUGUCUGCUCAAGGAUCGUCUGCUCAUGGGUUAUCUGCUCAUGGAACAUCUGCUCAUAGAAAAUCUGCUCAUGGUGCUAACUAAUCAGCGGCUUCCCACCAAACAAAUUUAAUGUUGAUGCAGGGAUCUGAGAUUCGAUCAACUCAUCCAGAUUUCGGCAUCAACAUCUAGUGCCGUCUGUGGGGACCGGUACGAGAAGCCAAUUUUUUGUCUCUAUCAAUUUUCAUCUAGUCGAAGCAAAUCAGAAUGUUACAGUGCAUAAAUGGAUGAGCUUGCUUAAACAAGGAUGCAAAAACCUUAAACGAGAGCACAUUGAAAGCACACGUUUGUAAAAAUCAGAACAAGUCAGAAGUUAAAUUUUUAUUUACAAGCAAUUUUUUCAUGAAAAUUUAAUUAUUUCUCUAAAUCCUGCUAUGUGAGAUGAGGAUACCUUAUAUUCAUUAAAUUGAUUGUGCUCAUGUUAGGGCUGACGGUAUAACUUAGUUAACUUGAUUUCUUGAAAGUUACUCAAUAUGAGAAUGAUUUAAGAAAGGAGAGCUAGGCUAGCGUUGAGAAGCCAAUCAAAGUUUACUAAUAAGGCGUGCAAAGGCUCCAAAGUCUCAAAGCCUAUUUUAUGGCGAGACAGGAAGCCAAGCAUGCCAGGAUCUUCUCGACCAAGUGAAGGCGAGCAGACCACCAAAGUUCCAAAAAGUUUCUAAGGCGUGCAAAGGCUCCAAAGUCUCAAAGCAUGUUUUAUGGCGAGACAGGAGGCCAAGCAUGCCAGGAUUUGCUCGACCAAGCAAAGGCGAGCAGACCACCGAAGUUCCAA